This 459-nucleotide ribosomal RNA is filed under the name uncultured bacterium. Its description in RNAcentral is "partial 16S ribosomal RNA". It matches the Rfam family "Bacterial small subunit ribosomal RNA", at positions 338 to 795 of the family's 1533-position model. The record is from RNAcentral.
CCUACGGGCGGCAGCAGUGAGGAAUAUUGGUCAAUGGGCGCGAGCCUGAACCAGCCAAGUCGCGUGAGGGAAGACGGUCCUAUUGAUUGUAAACCUCUUUUGUCGGGGAGCAAAAGACGCCACGCGUGGCGUUCCGAGAGUACCCGAAGAAAAAGCAUCGGCUAACUCCGUGCCAGCAGCCGCGGUAAUACGGAGGAUGCGAGCGUUAUCCGGAUUUAUUGGGUUUAAAGGGUGCGCAGGCGGAAGAUCAAGUCAGCGGUAAAAUUGAGAGGCUCAACCUCUUCGAGCCGUUGAAACUGGUGUUCUUGAGUGAGUGAGAAGUAUGCGGAAUGCGUGGUGUAGCGGUGAAAUGCAUAGAUAUCACGCAGAACUACGAUUGCGAAGGCAGCAUACCGGCGCUCAACUGACGCUCAUGCACGAAAGUGUGGGUAUCGAACAGGAUUAGAUACCCCAGUAGUC